CUAAAUAGCACAAAAUAGAAGAACUUUCAACAGGAAGGCCCUGAAUCCUUCCUUCUCACUGGAAAUCUGGAUAACUGUUGUGAUACCCAGGCUGAUUUCACAAGCAGAAUAUGGAAAUCUGGCCUCACAGACAGAUGAGGAAAAUCCGUCAUUGACUUCAGUAUGGCAAGUUUUUUCCAUCUAUGAUUCCUUGACCUGUCUCAUUCUUGGUCAGACAACUAAAUUACUUGUUUUAAGGAUUUUUUUUUCCCUUGUAAAACAGCUGUUUUAUUUCUACAUAGAUUAGAAAAAUAUGACUAAGGGGUUUUUUUUGUUGUUGUUUUUCUUUAAUAGAAAAUCCUUAACAGUUCCUUGUAUAUUUAAAAUGUGAAAACUGUGGGUUCAUCUUAGAAAAGGAGCCAAAGUUUAAGCCAGUUCUGUCUGAGCUGAAGCAAUGCUGCAUCCCAGUUGUCAAGCAUUGAGAUGAGUGACCAGUGAUAGGAAAUUUUUGCUUUUUUAUCUGUGUCUGAUAAAAUCUUUAAAUUAGGUUCCUAUUUCCUAACAUAAAACAGUGACAUGUAAGCAGUAAGCACAUCACAGGGUUAAUCACUGGGGUUUUCUGGAAGAAUAAUGUGGACCACAAACCUUCUCUGCCCAGCAAGGUUGAGCUGCAGAGUGGGAACUCUGAUUUGUGCUGCCAGGGUUAAGAAGAAACAGUGAUGGAGAAUGGCAGGCAGGCCAGGCAAUAGCUACUGAAAUAACUGUCCCACAGACAGGGAUUGGUGUAUCUUGUUGACCACGACAAUUGUCUUCAAAAUCUUGUCACAAAUUCCCUGAUGAAGACAACCUUCUGCUACACCUUUUCUCACCUUUCUCUCACCAGUAGUGAGAUGAAUCUACAUUACUAGCUACAAUAUUCAAAAUAAAACUACUAAGGUCAGCUGAAAGUGUCAAUAAUGAGAUUUUUCUGAGGGUGAAGUAGUUUAAUCAAAGUUUAACCUUCAUCUUAGUCUUUCAGUAAAAACAAGACUCUUUCUCCAGGGUGUAUCAUCUAAACUGGCAACUACAAAUUUAUUUACAGAACUUAAUCAAAAUUGUGCAAAACUCUUUCAAACAUUUAUCAAUGUCAUGCCAAUAUAAAUCAGAAUAAAUUUCAAAGUAUGCAAAUAAAAUGUUACACAAGCAUACUCUAGAGACUUUUCUUACCCCAAGUGGUGAUUUAUUAAUUAACUUUUUGUCCAUUUCUGUCAAUUGCCAGUAAGAGUCCUAAGUUCUGUCUGUUGUUUCUAGUAACAGGAGCAAGACUCAUGCAAAUUUGGAGAUAACACAUAGUUGCAGCCUUCUAAAAUGGGGAAAUGACGGAUUUCUUAACAAGCUGUCAAACUAAUCUUGCAUCUGUUUAGUCAGUCCUGGAUGAAACUGCCCAUUGUGAUGCCAAAUAGAAAGUGAGUUGUGAUUAUGAGCCUCCCUUUAGUGCUUGUCAGCUAUGAGUCUGUUUCUGGCCAUCUCCUUCUCUUAUAGAAACAUCGUACCUUCAAGAGGUGGGAGUGAUUUUUGUUUGCUGCACCAGCACUAGAAGAUGGGAGGGGGUGUGCAUAUAUAAUAGACAUUUGUAUAGAAUAUCUUAAACACCUGAUCUAGUGUAUGAAAAUGUUAUGCAGAUCAGUGUUACUGGGAAUGCUAUUUAAAAAAAACACCAACAAUUGAAGCAUUGACAGGUUUAAUGACUUGUCUAGGUUAUAUAAGAAAAUUGUGGGAGAAUUAAAAACUGCCACACAUCCUCCCAAACUCACAAAAUCAUCUUACUCACAGACAGGCCUCUAGAAAGGAUUCAUCUAAAUGCUAUAUUCCUUGGAAACUAAACUCCAAUGCUUAUUUCCUCUCUCCAUAAAAUGAAUAAUUUGUUCACCUUUUCCUUCUUUCUCUCUGUGGCUUAAAGUUAAAGGGGCCACAGCAGCUGCAGCAUGGUUCUUCUGGGUACAUACUGCUUGUUCUGCAUUGCUUUAGCAGCUGUCAUCAAUACCCAUCAGCAAAUGUUCAUAUGAAGUUAUUAUUAUCUUGUUAAAAAUAUGACACAUAACCUCAAGGAUGAACACUGAUGAAAAAGCAAGCUGUCAGAUACUGAUUCAAAAGGCUCAGGACUGCUCAUCUGGAACUAAGGGUGCCACAAGGUCAAGUACUUCCCCUUAUUCAACCACACACAAUACCCCUGUAUUGUGCUGCUCUGUAUUUGUAGUUUUAAGCAUUUACUAUCUUUGGUAUUGGAUUGUUCCACCAGCAAUCAAGGUUUGAAGUGAAGGGGAAGCUUUUUUGGAAAGCUUGUGGUCUUAAUCCAGGCUUGCUUCUUGAAACUAGAUUUUAAGGAUGGCAGUGUAAGACUUCAAGCUGCAAGUAAGGCUAGGUCAGUUUCUGCAUAGUUUUCUGAAAGUGGGUGAAGGUAACACCUUCCUAAGGAAAAGAAUGUCAAGCUGUAAAACUGCAGGCAGAGAGGCAGAGUGUAGCUGUGGGGUUUUCUAGGGCCUUCUUUAUGGAAGAAUUGAAGUGUGUUGACAAGCAACAUCUUACCUGGCUUGUGAUACCCCUUGGGACAGUAAAAGUAUUAGUGGCCCUUUGGGUCAUUUCCAGUCUCAACACUGAAAUUUGCAUGAAAUUUAAGAAGAGAUUCCUCUCUGGUCUUCUCUUUUUGUUGUUUUAAUCAAUGAAUGAGGAUGCUUAGGUAAAUGUUCCUUCCUUUGCUGCGCUGGUAACCCAGCCCUCAGAGUGAUGGGUUUGAGCCUGAGGAUUUCCAAGUGGCUCUGCUCAAUGGGAAAGCUGUCACUGACUGUCUGCCUCCUUCAAGCUGACCACAGUGCAGUCUGUAAAUUAAGUGCUUGGGGAAGUAUGGGUUGUUUACCUGAAUCAUAUAGAGUGUAUCAUCCCUCUUUUUUUUUGCAUUUAGAAAGAAACAUGGGUAAAAUUUCUCAUGAAGCUCUGACGAUGAAGCUGUACCCUCUUUGCUGUAUCUUGCUCAUUGCUGUGCAGAUACUGGAAAGACAUGGAGAACUUUAUUGAAGAGGGAGGAAACAUUUACAAACAGUAGCUAUGUUACUUCUCAAGCCAGGAAAAACAAAAACAAAACAAAAAAAACCCCACCAAAAAAACCCCAACAAAAACCAGAAAAAAACAUAUUUAAAUGUCAGGAAGUGGUUCUUAAGGGAAUAAUUCUCCCAAGGACUUGUGCCACUUUUAGCCUUGACCAUGUAAGCAGAGCACAGCAGCUCUCGAAGGACACGUGUGGGGCACUGGCUCCAUGGGGCACGUGGAAACACGCUGCACAGUCUGAGUGAAGAGGGAGAGAUGGCACCUGCAUGCCUCAGGGGAGGGGAUACCUCAGAAAAGGUAGGUAUAGAAAGGGUUACAGACGACUAGAUUGUUUCUCUUGGAAGUCUAGAGAAUUACUUCUUUUGUUGCCCAUUAUGUAGCAAAGUCCCCUGUUUUUUUACGAUUAGAAAUAAAACCUCGUCUUGUGCCAGAGCAGCUGCAGUGCUGGGUGUUCUGGCUAGCAAGGGACAAGGUGAAGUACACUCACAUCACGUUCUCUGAAGCACAGAGCAGCGGGGCAGUGCGAGAAGCAGCCCUGCCUUACCCAGCUGAGAUGGAGCCCCUUCUGCCUGUCCCAUGUGGGGCGAGGGAAUGGAUGAAGCCCACCUGGAGCCAGCCUUUCCGGGGGCCUUUGCAUGGCUCUUCCCAGAAGACAAGCAUGCCUUCGGCCCUUUCCACUGAAAAGAAGCCCUGGGGAGAAGUACCAAUGGCUCAGCGCAAAGCAAAAGAUCGGGUGUGCUCCCAAGCGCGUGGUGAAAAAAAGAUACAGCUGGGUAGGCUGCUAAUCCCUUGGUGGAAACAUUCUUAAUUAUGCAACAGGCAGCCUUAAAUAACCUCCUAGAACAAGGGCAAACGCUUCUUCCCUUUUGAUGCCACACCUUCUUAAAGAGGGAGAGAAGCGCUGAGAUGCAGUAGAGACGGGCAGCCGCUGUGAAGCGCUGCGGGCUUCCCAGGGCGGCUGCGGAGCGCGGGGUGCCCCAGCAAGGAUUGGUGCUGGAAAGGCGGUGUUUGGGACAGGGCAAAGGGCUCAUUUGCAGAGGGGAAGAUGAAAGGCGGCAGGCAGGCCAGCUGCUGGCCAAGCGGGCAGGAGAAGGCUGUGACAAGCAAGGGGAAGGCAAAAAAAGAUAAGGCUAAAAGAGGAACUAGGAAGGAGAACCUGCCCACUAGGAAACUUAUUUUAGCUGCCAGUAUGACAACUCUCACUGCACGACAGCAGCUGUGCCGACCACGGGCACUGCCCUGAUGCCUGAGCCGAGUCACCCGGCACAGUCUCUGCCACUGGAAAGCACCAUCAGGGACACAUGGUGAUGCCAGAGCAGACGGGAGACCGUGCACACAGCAAAGCUCUGGGGCUCCACCAGCCCCUGGAAGACAGUGGAACAGUGGGAACUGAAGGCAUCAUUGAGGACACCAGAUGAGUGUGCAGGAUGUGCUGCUCCAGCCUGCUUCCUGUUUGACAUCUUCUGGCCACAAUCACUUUUGAAAUGUAUGAAAGUACCUGUGACGCUUUGAAAAAAUAUGACAAUAUUUUCAUGUUGCUUUGAGAGAUGUGGCUGGAGAUAACAGUGUAUCUAAAACAACUCAUCAUGAACUGAACUAAAAAAUAAUUGAGACUUAUGUAUGAGUGUUUCCACCUAAGGUACACAGAACUGUGAAAAGUACUUAGAUAAAGUGUCUGAAGAACUAGAACUACUUUCACAUGGGAAAGGAAGAGGUUGAAUGAACCAUUAAAUACUUCCAACUUAGAUUUUCAGUAGAGAGACUUUAAGGAGGAAAGAUAUCACCUAAAUUUUGCAGAAUUUAUUUUUAAAACAUCAGUCUGUGGAAAUUCUAGACUCUGGACAAAAGAAAGCGAAGUGACAGAAACCAGAAUAAACCACGCAGUCUAACAAAAAGCUGCACAAUCUACUAAACCCUAUCUUGUGAUGACAAACCAUGUGAAAUCUGUGCAGAUAAGCCAUCACCAGUGGCUAGAUUCCCCUGUGUCUUACUGAGAAGAGGUGGGGAGGGAUAUGCAUAAUUAAUACCCAGGGGAAAAGUAGGGAACAUCUGGUGAAGUAAUCCCCAUUACACUCAAGUGGGUAUUGAUCAAAUGAAAUAAAAUAUGCUUUUGUAGCAAUAUUUCUCUGGAGAGAGUCCAAGCAAAGUAGCAGGGGAGCUGAGAUGUGGCCUGUUGGAACAUCGUCCCACCCAUUGCUUCAUGCCUGGAGGGGCAGAGGAGGUGGGACAGGGGGAGAUCUGCUGAGAGGGGUCCAUGUACUGCAAUGCUGAUGGGUAUGAAGGCAGACUCAUACAGUAUGAGUAUUUAAGGGUAAAUUUUUUAAUUAAGAUUUUCACAUGGUCUUUGAUUAAGAUAGAAGAGGACUAAUGUGAAUAUUUGAAGACUGGAAAAAAAUCACCUGCAAGAGAAGUUUCUGGGUGUGGUGUGACUUAUCUUUUCCUGUUUCUCACUGUUAUUCAGUGAGAUGAUGGCUUUGUAAUUGAAAUAAUCUUGACAUGAUAAACUUAGUUCUGGUGACAAGAUAAAUAAUGGUGUAAGCAAGACCUCAUUUUCCUGUUACUGGUUUCUUUGGUUAAGUAACUUACGUUAGUUAUGGAGGAAGGCAAGGUACAAUGCAAAUAUACCCUGUCCUCUUAUCCAGCCUUUCAGUAAUAUUGUAUUGUGCCAGGCAAGGACUUAAGGUUUUUGACAUUGACGUUAUGUACAAUGGUGUUGGAAAAACCUUGUGUUGCUUUGACAGAGAUAACUUUACAAUGAUAAUCUGCAGUCUGAAAAAAACUCCAAAAAACAGCAUAGCAACAAAAUGGUCUGCUUUCUCUUUCUUCACCCUGAACAGAAUUUUUCAGGAAAAAUUACUGCUGCAAAAUGUUGCCUCUUAAAUCUGCAAUUACAGUUCUCUUGAAAUUUCAAGGCCUGGAAUUAUUUAGCGCACAGAUACCUUGAUUCAGUUGCUGUGAGCAAGGCAAAGAAAGAGCUCUGCACCUUGGUCUGCCCGAAGUGACUGGUGCAGUGUAAAUGUGUCCAUCCACAUUCAUGCCUCCAGCUCUCUACACAAUCUUUUUGAAAAGAGAUGAAUGGAUGAACCAGACUUUAAUGGCAAAAAAGCUUGUCUAUUUGUGGAUGACUGGGGCAAUGUCAGUGGUUAGAAACUAAGAUCUAACUCAUGCUUCACUGCACAUUUUGGAUUGGGGCGGAUGGCUGUGUUGGGCAGGAGAAACAUUGCUGAGGUGUUCCUUCCUCCCAUGCUGGAAACACACUUGUUUGGGGACUUUCUGAGACAUAUGCUUUUAAAAUUCACAGAAAAUGUGACAAAACCUAAAAAAAACCCCAGCAGAUUCAGCCAAGACUGUGUUUAAGGAAGCAGCAAAGAGACUUCAAGAGGUUUUGUCAUGUACCUUAAAGACCCUGGGCUGUUAUUUUGUGUGAUAUGAGGGGAACUGAUGGGAGCUUCAUUGAACUUGGGGUAAAAAUAGGAUUCAAUGAGCUGACUUUCCCAGUUUUGUAUAUUGCUUUGACCCCAAGGGGAAUGCUCUGGCUCUUGCACUCAGGGAUCACUCAGGGUAUUACAGGUAUGGAUGCCCUGACCUGCCUGAGUACCCUGCCAGGAAAUGCCUCAACUUACAAACAUAGGGACUUCAUAGUAAAGUGGCAGUGCUGGUGUCUGCUGGCAUACAAAAUGCAUGAAGAUGAGUUAAAAAUGGAAGUCCUGCUUAGAAGGACCUCCUGCUUCCUGGAUGAGGAAGUUCCUCACAUGGAAAAAGGUGAGGUGACCGGGUGCCAGGUGCACAGAGGUGUGCUGUGCUCUCCCAGCACCACCACACUGCCCAAACAGCUGGGCGCUUGUAUGGACCCCCAGCUGGUUCACCCAGAUUCUGCCCAGCACUCUGGCUUGAGUCAAUAUGUGCUGUUGUUGUAACUAACUCUUUUUAUGCAGGCAGUAUGGUAAUCUCCUGUGGUCACAAGUGGGAAACCCCCUCUUUGCAUACCACCUUGUAAAAGCACCUCUCAUGACUCUCCCCAGAACAGAGCCUCCAAAGGGGAAGAUUCCUCUUCAGACCUAUCAGGCAUGAAUGUGAUGAAGGAAAAUGUUCCUGAGGUAUCCUUAGUCCUCCAUGCUGCAAAUUAAAGUUCUUGGAGCUGAGAAUAACAGGGAACUCCAAAAGGAUGUUUCUCUUGAGUUAAAGUCUUAACAGACUUCCCUUGGAUUAUGUCCAAGGCCAGCUCCAACACCAGCCCACCACUGAGUGGGGCUAGGGUGUGUUUCUUUCCCAGAGAAAGAAAUAUCCCCUAUAAAAAAAGGGGUUUUCUUUUCUCUUCUGGGGAUGGGCUUUCCUACGCUCUGUCUAGGUGAGCUGCCACGUAUCUCACCUGCU
This is a non-coding RNA of Cyanistes caeruleus (blue tit), 7434 nucleotides long. The record is from RefSeq and is a predicted model, not a curated record. NCBI's taxonomy places the organism in Eukaryota, Metazoa, Chordata, Aves, Passeriformes, Paridae.